This 482-nucleotide ribosomal RNA is filed under the name uncultured bacterium. RNAcentral's name for it is "partial 16S ribosomal RNA". It matches the Rfam family "Bacterial small subunit ribosomal RNA", at positions 30 to 507 of the family's 1533-position model. The record is from RNAcentral.
AUUGAACGCUGGCGGCAUGCUUUACACAUGCAAGUCGAACGGUAACAGGCCGCAAGGUGCUGACGAGUGGCGAACGGGUGAGUAAUGCAUCGGAACGUGCCCAGUCGUGGGGGAUAACUACUCGAAGGAGUAGCUAAUACCGCAUACGAUCUAUGGAUGAAAGCGGGGGACCGUAAGGCCUCGCGCGAUUGGAGCGGCCGAUGUCAGAUUAGGUAGUUGGUGGGGUAAAGGCUCUCCAAGCCAACGAUCUGUAGCUGGUCUGAGAGGACGACCAGCCACACUGGGACUGAGACACGGCCCAGACUCCUACGGGAGGCAGCAGUGGGGAAUUUUGGACAAUGGGCGCAAGCCUGAUCCAGCAAUGCCGCGUGCAGGAAGAAGGCCUUCGGGUUGUAAACUGCUUUUGUACGGAACGAAACGGCUCUGGUUAAUACCCGGGGCUAAUGACGGUACCGUAAGAAUAAGCACCGGCUAACUACGUG